This 541-nucleotide long non-coding RNA is filed under the name Homo sapiens (human). RNAcentral's name for it is "non-protein coding lnc-C8orf59-5:1". The record is from RNAcentral. Lineage: Eukaryota; Metazoa; Chordata; Mammalia; Primates; Hominidae.
AUGAAACCUCAUGAAACUCCUGUUUGACCCAAGUCUACUUAAAGAAGUGGACUGGAAUCAGAAUACAGCUAUAUAUGCUCCAGUUAUUUCACCAACACAUCUCCCAGAAGGCUUGGUUUAAGGCCUCUUUGUCUACUGAUGAUAUGGGUUUUUUUUUUUUAAGGUAGUGGGUCAGCGAACUGCCACUGGAGUUGUCAACCUUGAUAAUGUAUAAAGCAUUUUGAGCAUACAAAGAAAUCUGUGGUUCAUUAUGUUACAGUUGUGGAAGAUGUGACUCGGUGACAGUGUUGCCAUGACAACUCUGAUAAUAGUACAUAAAUUCAUCCUUUCCUGUGCUAAGAGAGAAAGAGUAGAUGUUGUUAGCAGUGAAUGCAGAGGAAGACAGCUUGGCAAAUUGUUAUCAACUUGUAGUUUGCUAAGCAAGAAACUGAACUGUUAUAAGAUUACUCUUGAAUGUCUACCACAAAAUGUUGGUUUUUACAAAACAUUUGGAUACAUUGGAUCUGAAGAAAACUACAUAUGUCAGAGGUUUCUAAAGUAA